CACAUGUGAGUAGUGGGCGCUCCUGUGCAAGAAUGAAUACGAAAGGGCUUUGUUACUGCAACUUCCCUAAUGGCAUCUUGGCGCCCUUAAGAAUAAUGACCUGUUUGAUGGGGGUAAGGCUGUCAAAUCGAAGUCGGUGAUUUUUGUUUGUUUGUUUGUUUUAGAAUUUUUGACCCUGCAAAAGGAGUUGGGGAUAAAAAUUUUGGUCUACAGCUCCACCAGCAUUGUCCACUUCUGUCUUAGACCAAGCCACUACAUCUCAGUGGUCUCUUAAAAGGCAUGGACCAAGAUUCUUCCACACUAGGUCCAAAACACAUCAUCAUUAUUUUGGACUUUUAAAAAGAUCAUUCAAUUUAUCAGAUGACGGAAAGAAGAAAGAAGAAAACAUGCUUUUGCUGGUAAAAUACCACAAAUUAGUGUUGAGACGUGCCAAUUCCAAGAAUGUUAUUCUCUAGUUGCAACAGACUGUUAAAAUAGAAACCCAUUUUAUUAUGCUUCUUUUAAUGCCUUUUUCUGGAAAUAAAUUUAUAGUUAAAAAAUAGACUGAACUCA
This 552-nucleotide long non-coding RNA is filed under the name Pogona vitticeps (central bearded dragon). RNAcentral's name for it is "lncRNA (ENSPVIG00000015935.1)". The record is from RNAcentral. Lineage: Eukaryota; Metazoa; Chordata; Lepidosauria; Squamata; Agamidae.